AACUGGUAGAAUGAAGGACAAGGCUGGUGCUUGUCACUGGGCCAGCAAGCAGAAACUGCAUCAAAGUUUCCAAGCUGUGCACAGGGCCUGGGGUCAGGGUGGAGGUCACCCCAGCAGGAAUCCUUCAAGUAGAUUCAUUCCCUUGGGGCUGUUGACCCAGGAAGGCUCUGAACUGCCCCCCUCACAUUGAGACAAAUGUCUCUGGUGUCCCACGAGGUGGGUCAGUGUACAGGGCCUUGGAUGGUGAGGUUUGAGUUCCUCUGACAUUUGUCUGAGGAAGAAAUGCUGUGUGUGUGUGUGUGUGUGUGUGUGUGUGUGUGUGUGUGUGUGUCUGUCUGUCUGUCUGUCUGUCUUGGGGGGGCUGUCAGCAGUCUCACAACGGCCUGGGCUUUCCACAGGGCAACCUUGGGCUCAGCGAGUCUGGAAUCUUUUGCCAUCACCCAGAAAACUCUGGGUCCCUGGGACACUUGACUGCAGUUUGCUCUUGGCCCAUCAUAUGUUCCUGAAUCCUUAAACCUUUCUCCUCAGAAAAGCUCUAAGAUCUGUCUCUCGGCUGCACUCAAGACCCAGGCGCCAGCUGCCGUGCCGGGUAGUCAGAGAGCCGGUGCCGAUCCCACAGGGCCCGGGACACAGGUCGAGCUUUAUCCCGGGACCUGCUUUCUGCCCUGUUCCAGCCUGUCCUUCCACCUCUGGGGCUGAAAACUAAAAUCAUUAAUCACUGUGGUUGUGUUCACGGCAGACUUUUUGUCCGAGAACUCAGGGAACAGCAGAGCUAGGAUUUUCCAAACUUUUAUUUUAUUUCUGCUUCCUGGUGUGUCACUCAGCCCCUGUCCCCUCCUGCCACUCUCAGCAGUCUGGAUGGCAGAGGAGGCUGGAGUCCAGCAGCAGAGGACAGAGGACGCCCUGCAGACUCCUGCAGUUUGUACUGGAAAGACAAAAACUCACCUCAGGGAAUCAGACCUGGAGAGGUUUCAUGGUUUGUGAGUUUCUCCUGUGGUUUAAGCAACAGGUUUCUAGGGGGCUCCCUCCUCCCAACCCCCUCCCCAUCUUUAUUUAAUGAGAGUUAAUGAAAAUAAAAC
This is a long non-coding RNA of Erinaceus europaeus (western European hedgehog), 1079 nucleotides long. RefSeq lists it as uncharacterized. The record is from RefSeq and is a predicted model, not a curated record. The transcript is spliced from 2 exons. NCBI's taxonomy places the organism in Eukaryota, Metazoa, Chordata, Mammalia, Eulipotyphla, Erinaceidae.